UUGCUGUACAAAAGGAGAGAAGGUUAGCACUCCCCUUGACUAGGCUGGAAGAAGCCUUUGGGUCUUACAAUAUGCAUACAAGUAUAGCUUUUA
This 93-nucleotide non-coding RNA is filed under the name Echinops telfairi (small Madagascar hedgehog). The record is from RNAcentral. Lineage: Eukaryota; Metazoa; Chordata; Mammalia; Afrosoricida; Tenrecidae.